UAGCUCAGUUGGUAGAGCACCACCUUGACAUGGUGGGGGUCACAGGUUCGAGUCC
RNAcentral lists this transfer RNA (55 nucleotides) under Tumebacillus flagellatus. Its description in RNAcentral is "tRNA-Val". It matches the Rfam family "tRNA", at positions 8 to 60 of the family's 71-position model. Rfam says of the family: Transfer RNA (tRNA) molecules are approximately 80 nucleotides in length. Their secondary structure includes four short double-helical elements and three loops (D, anti-codon, and T loops). The record is from RNAcentral. Lineage: Bacteria; Bacillati; Bacillota; Bacilli; Caryophanales; Alicyclobacillaceae.